RNAcentral lists this ribosomal RNA (2535 nucleotides) under human oral metagenome. Its description in RNAcentral is "bacterial LSU rRNA". It matches the Rfam family "Bacterial large subunit ribosomal RNA", at positions 14 to 2554 of the family's 2925-position model. The record is from RNAcentral.
AGAGUAAGUGGUGGAUGCCUUGGCUAGUAGAGGCGAUGAAAGACGUGCCAGGCUGCGAUAAGUCUCGGGGAGCCGUCAAGGGGCUUUGAUCCGGGAAUUUCUGAAUGGGGCAACCCAGUUAAGCGCGAGCUUAACUACCUAAUAUGGAGCGAACGAGGGGAAUUGAAACAUCUUAGUACCCUCAGGAAAAGAAAUCAAAAGAGAUUACGCUAGUAGCGGCGAGCGAACGCGUAAGAGGGCAAACCGUUAGUUUACUAACGGGGUUGUAGGACUGCGAUAUAGACUAAACUUAGCUAAUAGAAUAAUCUGGAAAGGUUAGGCACAGAGGGUGAUACUCCCGUAUAUGAAAGCUUUGUUUUACUUAGCAGUAUCCUGAGUAGGGCGGAACACGUGAUAUUCUGUCUGAAGCCGGGUCGACCACGAUCCAACCCUAAAUACUACUACUAGACCGAUAGCGCACAAGUACCGUGAGGGAAAGGUGAAAAGAACUGAGGUGAUCAGAGUGAAAUAGAACCUGAAACCAUUUACUUACAAUCAUUCAGAGCACGAUUCUUUAUGACGUGUGAUGGACUGCCUUUUGCAUAAUGAGCCUGCGAGUUGUGGUGUCUGGCGAGGUUAAGGAAACCCGGAGCCGUAGCGAAAGCGAGUCUUAAUAGGGCGUUUAGUCAGAUGCUGCAGACCCGAAACGAUGUGAUCUAUCCAUGAGCAGGUUGAAGCCGGUGUAAGAGCCGGUGGAGGACCCAACCCGCUGGCGUUGAAAAGCCAUGGGAUGACUUGUGGAUAGGGGUGAAAGGUCAAUCAAACAUCGUGAUAGCUGGUUCUCUCCGAAAUAUAUUUAGGUAUAGCGUCAUGUAGUAACACUAGGGGGUAGAGCACUGAAUGGGCUAGGGCAUACACCAAUGUACCAAACCCUAUCAAACUCCGAAUACCUAGUGUGUAAUCAUGGCAGUCAGGCGGCGAGUGAUAAAAUCCGUCGUCGAGAGGGGAACAACCCAGACUAACAGCUAAGGUCCCUAAAUCUCAUUUAAGUGGAAAACGAUGUGGAGUUACUUAAACAACCAGGAGGUUGGCUUAGAAGCAGCCAUCCUUUAAAGAAAGCGUAAUAGCUCACUGGUCUAGUGAUUCUGCGCGGAAAAUAUAACGGGGCUAAAAUGAGUACCGAAGCUUUAGACUUAGUUUUACUAAGUGGUAGGAGAGCGUUGCAUUCAGCGUCGAAGGUGUACCGGUAAGGAGCGCUGGAGCGAAUGCAAGUGAGCAUGCAGGCAUGAGUAGCGAUAAUUGGGGUGAGAAUCCCCAACGCCGUAAACCCAAGGUUUCCUACGCGAUGCUCGUCAUCGUAGGGUUAGCCGGGUCCUAAGCAAAGUCCGAAAGGGGUAUGCGAUGGAAAAUUGGUUAAUAUUCCAAUGCCAACUAUAAUGUGCGAUGGAAGGACGCUUAGAGUUAGAGGAGCCAGCGGAUGGUAGUGCUGGUCGAAAGGUGUAGGUUAAGAUCCAGGCAAAUCCGGAUCUUUUUAAGCCGAGACCCCACAGGCACACAAAGUUCUUCGGAACAGCGUGUGAAUCCUUGAUACUGUCGAGCCAAGAAAAGUUUCUAAGUUUAGUUAUAGUUGCCCGUACCGUAAACCGACACAGGUGGGUGGGAUGAGUAUUCUAAGGCGCGUGGAAGAACUCUCUUCAAGGAACUCUGCAAAAUAGCACCGUAUCUUCGGUAUAAGGUGUGCCUAACUUUGUGAAGGAUUUACUCCGUAAGCAUUGAAGGUUACAACAAAGAGUCCCUCCCGACUGUUUACCAAAAACACAGCACUCUGCUAACUCGUAAGAGGAUGUAUAGGGUGUGACGCCUGCCCGGUGCUCGAAGGUUAAUUGAUGACGUUAGCUCUGCGAAGCGUUUGAUCGAAGCCCGAGUAAACGGCGGCCGUAACUAUAACGGUCCUAAGGUAGCGAAAUUCCUUGUCGAUUAAAUAUCGACCUGCAUGAAUGGCGUAACGAGAUGGGAGCUGUCUCGAAGAGGGAUCCAGUGAAAUUGUAGUGGAGGUGAAAAUUCCUCCUACCCGCGGCAAGACGGAAAGACCCCGUGGACCUUUACUACAGCUUGACACUGCUAUUGGGAUAAAAAUGUGCAGGAUAGGUGGGAGGCUUUGAUCCAUAGACGCCAGUUUAUGGUGAGCCAUUGUUGAGAUACCACUCUUUUUUAUUCUGAUAGCUAACUAGCUUGAGUUAUCCUCAAGUAGGACAAUGUCUGGUGGGUAGUUUGACUGGGGCGGUCGCCUCCCAAAAUGUAACGGAGGCUUACAAAGGUUGGCUCAGAACGGUUGGAAAUCGUUCGCAGAGUAUAAAGGCAAAAGCCAGCUUAACUGCGAGACAUACACGUCAAGCAGGGACGAAAGUCGGUCUUAGUGAUCCGGUGGUUCUGUGUGGAAGGGCCAUCGCUCAAAGGAUAAAAGGUACCCCGGGGAUAACAGGCUGAUCUCCCCCAAGAGCUCACAUCGACGGGGAGGUUUGGCACCUCGAUGUCGGCUCAUCGCAUCCUGGGGCU